GUGCCAGCCGCCGCGGUAAGACGGAGGGUGCUAGCGUUGUUCGGAAUCACUGGGCGUAAAGGGCGCGUAGGCGGCUUUGGCAGUCGGCUUCGUGAAAGCCCGGGGCUCAACCCCGGAGGUGCGGCCGAUACACCAAGGCUGGAGGCCGGAAGAGGAGGGUGGAAUACCCAGUGUAGAGGUGAAAUUCGUAGAUAUUGGGUGGAACACCGGUGGCGAAAGCGGCUCUCUGGUCCGGUCCUGACGCUGAGGCGCGAAAGCGUGGGGAGCAAACAGGAUUAGAAACCCCAGUAGUCC
Molecule: ribosomal RNA, 294 nt
Filed under: uncultured bacterium
Lineage: Bacteria
Description: partial 16S ribosomal RNA
Rfam family: Bacterial small subunit ribosomal RNA
Source: RNAcentral